AUAUUAUUGUAUACUAAAUGCAAUUUCAUCUCAAAUAAUAUUUUACUCAUUUUUUAUAGCUUCAGCCAGAUCUGAGGGAACUCCAUGACACUAUGUGCAGGCUUACUUUGGUACCUGCAGAUUUUGAGGGAAAACAGAAAUUACAUGAAUGGUUACAAACUAUGUCUGGAAUGGCUGCAUCUGAUGAAUUAACUGAAAGUCAAGUGCGACAGUUUAUAUUUGAUUUGGAAUCUGCAUAUAGUAGCUUUAAUCGAUUGUUGCACGAGUCUUGAAGCUGAUGGAAAACUUUCUUAUAUUUGCUCUGAUUUUCAAUAUUAUUUGUAUAUAUGCAUAUGUAUAUUAGAUACAGUUGACUGUGUGGCAAGAAGUUUGCUAUAACUAGAGCCUUUGUAAAAAAAAAAAAAAAAAAAAAAGUAAAAAUAAAAUUAAAAAUAAAAAAAAA
Stegodyphus dumicola is the source of this 442-nucleotide long non-coding RNA. NCBI's taxonomy places the organism in Eukaryota, Metazoa, Arthropoda, Arachnida, Araneae, Eresidae. The record is from RefSeq and is a predicted model, not a curated record.